RNAcentral lists this ribosomal RNA (253 nucleotides) under uncultured bacterium. RNAcentral's name for it is "partial 16S ribosomal RNA". It matches the Rfam family "Bacterial small subunit ribosomal RNA", at positions 524 to 776 of the family's 1533-position model. The record is from RNAcentral.
UACGGGGGGAGCAAACGUUGUUCGGAAUCACUGGGCGUAAAGGGCGUGUAGGCGGCUGAAUAAGUGGGAUGUUAAAUCCCCCGGCUCAACCGGGGACCUGCAUCUCAUACUGUUCAGCUCGAGCACAUCAGAGGAGACUGGAAUUCCCGGUGUAGCGGUGAAAUGCGUAGAUAUCAUGAGGAAGACCAGUGGCGAAGGCGGGUCUCUGGACAGUUCCUGACACUGAGACACGAAGGCCAGGGGAGCAAACGGG